Molecule: ribosomal RNA, 406 nt
Filed under: uncultured bacterium
Lineage: Bacteria
Description: partial 16S ribosomal RNA
Rfam family: Bacterial small subunit ribosomal RNA
Source: RNAcentral
AUUGAACGCUGGCGGCAGGCCUAACACAUGCAAGUCGAGCGAGCGGCGGACGGGUGAGUAAUGUAUGGGGAACUGCCUGAUAGAGGGGGAUAACUACUGGAAACGGUGGCUAAUACCGCAUACUCUCGGAUGAACCCAUAUGGGAUUAGCUAGUAGGUGGGGUAAAGGCUCACCUAGGCGACGAUCCCUAGCUGGUCUGAGAGGAUGAUCAGCCACACUGGGACUGAGACACGGCCCAGACUCCUACGGGAGGCAGCAGUGGGGAAUCUUGCACAAUGGGCGAAAGCCUGAUGCAGCCAUGCCGCGUGUGUGAAGAAGGCCUUCGGAUUGUAAAGUACUUUCAGCGGGGAAGCGUUACCCGCAGAAGAAGCACCGGCUAACUCCGUGCCAGCAGCCGCGGUAAUUC